CUUUUCGCGGUACAGGCACUCUUUGUCCAGCUGGAACACCCACCAGGUUUCAUGAAGUCGUAUUUUGACAGUUUGUAUAAUGAGGAGAUCAUCACAGAGGAAUCAUUCAACGCCUGGGAAAGCAGUGUUGAAGAGGAACGAGGCAAGCGCGCGGCCAUAGCCGCCAGUUCUGUAUUCUUCCGCUGUCUUAGAAGCAGCGCUGAAGGCGAGGACCUGGCGAGAAGAGUUUAACAAUUCACCGCGAAGUUGAAUAACUGGCUCUUAAAAAUAUGCAAUCAGUGGAACUUCGGAAGCAGACGCCGUAAAAUCCUGGUUUUUCUGCGUUUUUAUGAGCUUUUUCAGUGGGUGGUGGCGAAUGAAAGUAACCUUAGCUUACGUUUUAUAAUGAAUACUUUACUCUUCUCGACCACCACACAAGUUCACGGUUGUUAAGUUUAAAAAAUUAACGUUUGCCAAAUUGGAACAUUUCAAAUUGUACGUAGAGUUUAUAUAAAUAUCAGGUUUUAAUCUUAUCUCAAUCUGCGCUGCAGCUGCUGCUGUUGUUUUAACAGAUUCAUACCUAGCAGCUUUCACUUGAGUGUCGAAAAUAAUUGCAUUUGCUUUGGUUUUGCAUUUCAACGGUAGGAAAUUGGCUUAAAAAACCUCGCGCCACAUCGUCAUCCAAUCAGAAGUAAAUACAACACGAAUUGUUUCUCGCAUGCCGGGGUGUAUAUAUCGCGCUGGAAUUUUAAAGCAAUUUCAAUUUAGUUCAGCAGUUCACCCGAGGCCUAAGGGAUAGAGAAAGAGAGAAAAGAGAAACAAACAUCGAACAGUGGAGUCUAUAUCAUGCCGUGGGAAAUACAGUUUCUCCACUUCCCCACCUCCGCUACCCACCCCGGAGAUAAGAGCAAGUUAAUCGAACUGAUUUUAGUUUUGUCUGAAUUUGUUAUUCCCGUCGUAUUUGACCUCCUACUGUGAAUCGUCUGAAUUAGUUGUUAGAAGUAUAUUCGAGGAGGAAAUAAUUACGUUUCACCGCAAAAUAACUGACUAACCUUAUGUCAGAACGUGUAGAACAACAGUGAAUAGUUGUUGAAUAAAAAGUUUUCGUGUGCGUCAACUCAGUUAAA
Long non-coding RNA from Orbicella faveolata, 1106 nucleotides. The record is from RefSeq and is a predicted model, not a curated record. Lineage: Eukaryota; Metazoa; Cnidaria; Anthozoa; Scleractinia; Merulinidae.